CCUACGGGAGGCAGCAGUAGGGAAUUUUCGUCAAUGGGCGCAAGCCUGAACGAGCAAUGCCGCGUGAACGAGGAAGGUCUUCGGAUCGUAAAGUUCUGUUGAAGGGGAAAAAGAGCGGAGAGAGGAAAUGGUCUCCGAUUGAUAUUACCCUUCGAGGAAGUCACGGCUAACUACGUGCCAGCAGACGCGGUAAUACGUAGGUGGCGAGUGUUAUCCGGAAUGAUUGGGCGUAAAGGGUGCGUAGGCGGCCUGCUAAGUCUGGAGUGAAAGGUACCGGCUCAACCGGUACAGGCUCUGGAAACUGGCGGGCUAGAGAGCAGGAGAGGGCGGUGGAACUCCAUGUGUAGCGGUAAAAUGCGUAGAUAUAUGGAAGAACACCAGUGGCGAAGGCGGCCGCCUGGCCUGUUACUGACGCUGAGGCACGAAAGCGUGGGGAGCAAAUAGGAUUAGAUACCCGAGUAGUC
This 464-nucleotide ribosomal RNA is filed under the name uncultured bacterium. Its description in RNAcentral is "partial 16S ribosomal RNA". It matches the Rfam family "Bacterial small subunit ribosomal RNA", at positions 338 to 795 of the family's 1533-position model. The record is from RNAcentral.